RNAcentral lists this ribosomal RNA (253 nucleotides) under uncultured bacterium. Its description in RNAcentral is "partial 16S ribosomal RNA". It matches the Rfam family "Bacterial small subunit ribosomal RNA", at positions 524 to 776 of the family's 1533-position model. The record is from RNAcentral.
UACGUAGGGGGCUAGCGUUGUCCGGAAUCAUUGGGCGUCAAGCGCGUGUAGGCGGUUCGGUAAGUCCGCUGUGAAAGUCGGGGGCUCAACCCUCGAAUGCCGGUGGAUACUGUCGGACUAGAGUACGGAAGAGGCGAGUGGAAUUCCUGGUGUAGCGGUGAAAUGCGCAGAUAUCAGGAGGAACACCAAUUGCGAAGGCAGCUCGCUGGGACGUUACUGACGCUGAGACGCGAAAGCGUGGGGAGCAAACAGG